CACACACCUCUUCAACAUGCCUGUCUAGCAUUGAUGGGUAUGUCUGUCUUCUAAGCUUUCAAGUUUACAACUGUACACCACCGCCUCAUCUAUUUCCUAUCUAUUCUCAUCCCUUUCGUUGGUCUUUACACUUCUAACUAUUACUCCACCGCCUCAUUCAUUCUCUGUCUAUUCUCAUCUCUUUAUAAUCUUCACUCUUUUAGCUAUUUCUGCUUUUUGCUAAUUUCGCUUUUCCGCAUUGUAGUUUCUUAGAGGUAAAUAUCUUCAAUUUUCUACAUUCAUCUGUAAUUUCAUAUUUUUUUGACACAAUUCUUCACCGAAUUUUGGUUAGAAAGAAAAACCUCAUUCUAAAUUGAAAAUUAGAUUAGUUUUUGGUAUUACAAAGUAGAUUCAAAUAGAGUUGAAACAAAUACAUUGCUGAAAUUCAUCAUCUUUUUUGUUUUGUUGCUUUUUGAUUGUUGAAUUAUAGAUCUGAAGAAAAUUUUCUUGGAUAUUAUCUUUUCGUUUAAUUUGGUAAUGUAUCUAUCUAAUUUGGGUGCAAGUAAUUGUUAAAUACAUUGAAUUACUCCAACAAAGAAAAUAGCGGGAGUACAUAAUUCCUUGUUUUCUAGCGAGUUUUUGUUUAAGUUCUUAAGGUUUCUCUUUAUUUGGAAAAAAGAUUUAAACUUUAGGAACUAAGAAGAAAUAAUAAAGAGGAAGUAUGUGAUUUAUUUUUAAAAAUAAAAGUGUAGCUAUUGCGCAGUACAUCUUUCCAACAUUUCUCCUGAUAUACAUCGAUUCACUAUAUAUUGUAAGGAGAUAAUGGAGUAGACAAAUAUAGGGACAAGAAAUUACUUACAGUCUAUCAAAACAAGAUGGAAAAAGAAAAAAAGGUGAGUGUAUACGUUGUAGCUUUGUAUAUAUAGGAGGUAUAAAGGGACAAAAGCCCUGUCAAUUGUCAAUUAAGCAAUAACUUGAAAAUUUAAACUUAUGGUGUAGUUUCUAUGAAAAUUUUUAAAAGAUGCACUGCUUUCUAGAUUGACUCUGGAAAUAGUGUAAUGUUACUGCAAUAUAGUAAAUUAGUUUUUGAUACUUGAUGUUUAUGUACUCAAUCUUAGUAGUACUUACUAUAGCAAUUGGGGUGUAAAAAAAAUCUAAGAUUUACGAAAUGGAAUCAUGAAUCCAUGGAAAAUCUUUGUAGUUCAGUUCGUUGGCUACCUGCAUUUGUUAUCUUUUUAGUGAAAGUUCAAUUCACUGCCUUGUAAUUUAAUUCCCAUAUUCUCUUUUCCUACUCCCAAUUAUUUUUUAAAAGAAUCAUGGAUCUACGAGAAAUUUUAGCAUCUCAAUUGAUUGGAUACCAACAUUUUCACCUUGUUGGUAAAAGUUCGCUUUGCCCACCUUAUUGUUUCCUCUCCAUAAUCCAUUUCCCUACUCCCAUUUUUUUAAAAAAAGAAUCAUGGAUCCACCAGAAGCUAAAAAUAAUUAAGUUGUUUGGAUUUUAUAAAAUAGAAAAAAAUGGACUAGGUUAUUUCUUUUUCAUUUUAAAUCUAUUCAAUAAGACUAAGGUAGGUGGAUAGUUGAAUGAUAGAUGUUAAAGUUGAGCCGAGAUAUUUAUUCUUUUUGAAGUUUGUAUUUUUUUUGUUUGGGUAGUUCUUAAAUGGUUAAUAUUGAGAUGCUGUGAGUGAAUUACUUCUAUACAACUGAUCCUAAAGAAAAUCAAGAAUCUAAUACUGUUUUGUUGAUGGAUUCAGCUUCAGAUAACUCAUUUAACGGAAGAUUCCCACGCCCGGAGGUGCUGAAUUUGGGAAGUAUUACAGCCUACAUGCCUUGAAUGAUACCUGUAUUGGUAAGUACCGCUACAGCCAGUGCUGAAUAAAACUUGAGCGCAACAAAGCUCACCCCAAGAGCGCGCAGUAUUUUGAUACACUACGUUGAUCACUAUAAUUAAAAUGCUUGACAGGAGUUUUUAAUCAAUCACCCAAUCCAACUGUUUGUAAAGACAAGUAAUACUGAACAUGAUUGCUGUUGAUGUGUCUAUACUGAUGAUGCCUCAUGAUAGAAUCAUAAAUUGUUUAAUGGAAUUCAAAAA
This 2068-nucleotide long non-coding RNA is filed under the name Capsicum annuum. RNAcentral describes it as "long non-coding RNA (CANN_LNC011982)". The record is from RNAcentral. Lineage: Eukaryota; Viridiplantae; Streptophyta; Magnoliopsida; Solanales; Solanaceae.